This 96-nucleotide non-coding RNA is filed under the name Harryflintia acetispora. RNAcentral describes it as "Cyclic di-GMP-I riboswitch". It matches the Rfam family "c-di-GMP-I riboswitch aptamer". From Rfam's summary of the family: GEMM was predicted in a large-scale screen for bacterial structured RNA regulatory elements. Lineage: Bacteria; Bacillati; Bacillota; Clostridia; Eubacteriales; Oscillospiraceae. The record is from RNAcentral.
AUGUAAAAGGCAAAGCUGGCGAAAGCCAGUGACGCAAAACUAUAGGGCCUUGAUUUGAAGGAACUUAACCCCUCCUUCAGAUUGUGGCAGCCAGGU